AGACGUCUACAUUAGAUACCCCCGUAGUCCCAGCCGUAAACAAUGUGCGUUAGGUGUGUCGGUAACCACGUGUUACUGAUGCGCCGAAGAGAAAUCGUGAAACGCACCACCUGGGAAGUACGGUCGCAAGGCUGAAACUUAAAGGAAUUGGCGGGGAGCACCACAACGGGUGGAGCCUGCGGUUUAAUUGGACUCAACGCCGGGAAGCUCACCGGAUAGGACAGCAGAAUGAUUGCCGGGCUGAAGACCCUGCAUGACUAGCUG
This 264-nucleotide ribosomal RNA is filed under the name uncultured archaeon. RNAcentral describes it as "partial 16S ribosomal RNA". It matches the Rfam family "Archaeal small subunit ribosomal RNA", at positions 714 to 982 of the family's 1478-position model. The record is from RNAcentral.